This 261-nucleotide ribosomal RNA is filed under the name Vibrio cholerae. RNAcentral's name for it is "partial 23S ribosomal RNA". It matches the Rfam family "Bacterial large subunit ribosomal RNA", at positions 2069 to 2329 of the family's 2925-position model. Lineage: Bacteria; Pseudomonadati; Pseudomonadota; Gammaproteobacteria; Vibrionales; Vibrionaceae. The record is from RNAcentral.
CCCGCGGCUAGACGGAAAGACCCCGUGAACCUUUACUACAGCUUGGCACUGAACAUUGAACCUACAUGUGUAGGAUAGGUGGGAGGCUUUGAAGACGUGACGCCAGUUGCGUUGGAGCCGUUCUUGAAAUACCACCCUUGUAUGUUUGAUGUUCUAACUUAGACCCGUUAUCCGGGUUGAGGACAGUGCCUGGUGGGUAGUUUGACUGGGGCGGUCUCCUCCCAAAGAGUAACGGAGGAGCACGAAGGUGGGCUAAUCACG